RNAcentral lists this long non-coding RNA (675 nucleotides) under Anas platyrhynchos platyrhynchos (common mallard). RNAcentral describes it as "lncRNA (ENSAPLG00000028453.1)". The record is from RNAcentral. Lineage: Eukaryota; Metazoa; Chordata; Aves; Anseriformes; Anatidae.
AUUUAUAUUUGUUUGUAUUCUUAUGCAUUGUGCUGAAGAGAUUGCAUUCUCUUGUUGAAGACUUUAUUUCCCUUCAAGUGGUUACUCCUAAAUGCAACACUUUUUUUUUUUACCCUUUUUUUUUUUUUUUUUUUUAAACUAAAAGAAACCAGAGCUGGAGGGCUGAGCAGGGGGAGAGAAAAACUCUCAGCCUGGAUCCUGCACAACAAGGUGCUACAUGCUUCAACUUCUAGUAUGCUUACAAAGGUCAGCUAAAGUUCAGGAAGGGAUAAAUGAUUGCUACUUUGAGGGGGUCCGUGGUAGCCAGCACUGUUCACAUCACAUUACAACAGCAUGCUUACGAGCUCAUCAAGAGAAGACUGUAGUAGAUCAUGUGCCUUGUAAAACUGAUGCUUCAGUGCAAACAUACAAAGGAUGUGCCUGGUCUGAAGAGUUGCUGAGAAUGUCACAGAGUCCUGCUAUGGCUUGUGGCCCAUUUACUGUCCAUGGAUUCAUGCACCCACUCAUCCCUCCAGCCACCUGUCCUGCAACAUUUUGAUGUACGUACCCAGAAACUGCUGGUAGGAUGGCAGCCAUCAGCUUCCAAAGCCAGGNNNNNNNNNNUAUUAUUAUUAUUAUUAUUAUUAUUAUUAUUAUUAUUAUUAUUAUUAUUAUUUCCUUUUAACAGGAAAAUUG